AUCUAAGGAAUUGGUAAGAUUUCUUACCUUUUCUAUACUUACAGUUUAGAGGAAGAGAGAGGGUAAGGAUUCUUGAUAAGUUUCUGUAAACUAGAUUCUGGGUUUUAAGGCUUGAAUGCCUUUGAUUUUACUGACGUAUGGUUGUCGCACUUAGCUACCAGGACGAGAUGGCGACUCUGGUAUUGGUAAAUUGCCCUUUGUUUAAAUAAAUUAUUAUAUUUAAUA
This 225-nucleotide long non-coding RNA is filed under the name Gossypium barbadense (sea-island cotton). RNAcentral's name for it is "long non-coding RNA (GBAR_LNC022647)". Lineage: Eukaryota; Viridiplantae; Streptophyta; Magnoliopsida; Malvales; Malvaceae. The record is from RNAcentral.